UUCUUGGCACCACAAGGCAUAAGCUCUAAAACUCGGUCACCUUCAUCUCUUUAUUGUUUUGUUUGACACUCUGAGUUCUCCACUUCAGUGUAACGAUGUUUCAUCCUCCUCAAAUUCUUCGACUCAUCUAUUUGCUCCAGUCUCCACAUCAACUCCUCUUCAAGAUGUCACCUUCUCUCUGCAAUCAAAUUCUCUAAUUCCUGGAUACCUCUCUUUCUAAAAUACAAUCGAUGAAACCUACGGCGGCUAGCUAGGAGUUAGACUCACACUACAAAACUGGUAUUGGUUUACCCGGAGCUAAAGAAAUACUUCUUCAAAGAGAUGCCUCCAUGAAAGAAUCGGCCAAGGGAAGAGAAGAAGACUGGAAGGAACGCAGUAAAGACCGUAGUCCUCACAUAGGAGUAAGAUCUGGCGUGGAGAACUUUGAAUAAACAAGGGUAUAGUCACCAAUGUCAUCCAAAAAAAUUCCAAAUUUUCAGGUAUGAAUGUGGAACCAAAUCCUUAAGUCCGUAUCAGUUAUUUCCAAAUAUUCCAAAUCAAUUCUUUAGUGCAUAUCAUAAAACGUAACAUCUCUCUCUCCUGUAAGCUAACUUUAUUUGUCUUGUUUAUGAAGAACCUUUAAAAUGAUUAGCCAUGAAGAAUUAUUUCUGUUUACGUGAUAUUGACAAAGAAUGGUCUGGUCCGUGUGGAAAAAGUGACCUCGAAAAGAACUAGCAACUAUACACACCGAGGUGAUAAACAAUUUAAUUAGUUGACUUCUAAUUUCUUUCCCAAACAAGUGUCAUGUUUAGAAUGUAAGUUACUGUGUUUCAAUAGUUAGUAUUCCUUAUCCACAUUCCAAGCAGAGUCAUCUCAUGCCAAAUACACAAGCAGUGUAAUUUUGAUCUGAAUUAAAAAAAAUAUACUAUACAAUUUUUUUCAAUGACAGCUGCAGUUUUCCUACUAUGUAAUGUGAGGUUUGCUUGAUUCUUUGAAUGUCGAUUGCUUUCAAUUUCUACACUUUAAUUUAACUGUGUUAUCCAGUUUUGCAAAACAGCUUCUUAUGAUGAUGUGGACAUUCAGAGUCUCCAAAUCAUUUAGGGGUUUGUGUGAUGUUAGAGUUGCAUGAGACCAUGAUAUGAAAUUUUUGGUUUAACUUCGCUUGACAAGUACUAAUAUUAGCAAAUAAGAAAUGCGAGCUUGAGAAAGAAAAGGAUGAAGUAAAUACUACCAGAGAAGUUGCUUUGCUCAAAUCUAGAAUAGAAUGCCGUAGAGUUCAGAAAAGUGUCUCCUUUUGAGUAUUUAGGGCUCUGAAAUCUGGAAGAUGGUUACUAAUACUGGUCUUUGACAUUUCUCGAAGAAUCUUUGGUGAAAACCUAAAAGAUAUGUGGGAAAGGAGCAUAAGCAGUAAAAUGCAGAUUCUAAAGUAGCUUUGCUAAAGAUUGAAAGGAGAAUCACAUAGAGUAAAAAUGAGGAUAUAACAGAGAAUAUUUGGUUGGUCUUCACGAGACAGGGAGCAUAGAAGACCAUUGCAUGGUUUGUUUUCAAAAUUUGCAUUCCAUUUUAUUAAUAAACAAUAAAAAACUUCUUUUCCAGACUAAUAAUGGAGAAUAAUCAUCCGAUUAAAUGCACUUGAAGUGGGAUAUAAGAAAUUUUGGACAGUCUUAUGUUUUACUUUUCCCACAUAGUUUCC
Molecule: long non-coding RNA, 1672 nt
Organism: Eutrema salsugineum
Lineage: Eukaryota; Viridiplantae; Streptophyta; Magnoliopsida; Brassicales; Brassicaceae
Exons: 4
Source: RefSeq, a predicted model, not a curated record